CAGUCGCCACGGGAAUACGAAGGGUGCAAGCGUUAAUCGGAAUUACUGGGCGUAAAGCGCGCGUAGGUGGUUUGGUAAGAUGGAUGUGAAAUCCCCGGGCUCAACCUGGGAACUGCAUCCAUAACUGCCUGACUAGAGUACGGUAGAGGGUGGUGGAAUUUCCUGUGUAGCGGUGAAAUGCGUAGAUAUAGGAAGGAACACCAGUGGCGAAGGCGACCACCUGGACUGAUACUGACACUGAGGUGCGAAAGCGUGGGGAGCAAACAGGAUUAGAGACCCCAGUAGUCCCUGUCUCUUAUAA
This 301-nucleotide ribosomal RNA is filed under the name uncultured bacterium. RNAcentral's name for it is "partial 16S ribosomal RNA". It matches the Rfam family "Bacterial small subunit ribosomal RNA", at positions 509 to 809 of the family's 1533-position model. The record is from RNAcentral.